Molecule: ribosomal RNA, 396 nt
Filed under: uncultured bacterium
Lineage: Bacteria
Description: partial 16S ribosomal RNA
Rfam family: Bacterial small subunit ribosomal RNA
Source: RNAcentral
AUACGUAGGUGGCAAGCGUUGUCCGGAAUUAUUGGGCGUAAAGCGCAUGUAGGCGGUGCCUUAAGUCUGUCGUGAAACUGCGGGGCCUAACCCCGUAUGGCGAUGGAAACUGUGGCACUUGAGUGCAGGAGAGGAAAGGGGAACUCCCAGUGUAGCGGUGGAAUGCGUAGAUAUUGGGAAGAACACCGGUGGCGAAGGCGCCUUUCUGGACUGUGUCUGACGCUGAGAUGCGAAAGCCAGGGUAGCGAACGGGAUUAGAUACCCCGGUAGUCCUGGCCGUAAACGAUGGGUACUAGGUGUGGGAGGUAUCGACCCCUUCCGUGCCGGAGUUAACGCAAUAAGUACCCCGCCUGGGGAGUACGGCCGCAAGGCUUAAACUCAAAGGAAUUGACGGGG